RNAcentral lists this long non-coding RNA (1162 nucleotides) under Astyanax mexicanus (Mexican tetra). Its description in RNAcentral is "lncRNA (ENSAMXG00005021869.1)". Lineage: Eukaryota; Metazoa; Chordata; Actinopteri; Characiformes; Acestrorhamphidae. The record is from RNAcentral.
UUUGCUUUUAAACCAAACUGCCAUUUGAUUCUUUUUAUUUUAAUAACAUGGUUGUAGGGGAAGCAGCAGCAUUCAGAUAAAGCACAUGUUUACUUUAAUUGCUCUGUAAGUCUGGCAAGAUCUGAAUAAUCUUUUUUGUAACUUUAAUUACCUGAUGUUUUGCUAGUAUUUCCCACACCCUUGAAGCUGGAUUGGGGGUGGUUGUGUGAACUCAGAAGUUUUGGGCAGAAGCGUGAAACUAAAGUCCCCUCACAAGAAGAGACAGAAUAAAAGGAGGGAGAUGGGUUUAUAUAGGGAUGACUGGGAGGAGUAAAGGGGCAUGGAUCAGUCUCCAAAAAUUAAGUUAUAUUCAUCACCCCACUGAAACUGACUGACAGCAAACCUAAGAUUUAUAAAAUAAAUGGAUAUGUCCCAUGCUGCAUUUUCUAAUUGUCCUAAGCAGCAAAUAGGUUAGCUGAUUUAUUUUUUCUUUAUUUAUUUAUUCUAGUUUUUAGGGAAUAUGGAAAUACAAAGACUGUGGUACUUCUGUUUUGUGAAGAUCUGAACUCCCUAAAAUUUGAAGCUUGAACAUCAACAUUAUGGACGCCACCAUUGUAUCCGGUAGAAAGUCUCAGAAAAGCAGUUAAGAAUGGAAGAGUUGGAGGAGAAAUGGCCUGCAUUUGAUCACAGUGGAUGAAGUAAAUAACUUUUCUAACCAAUGGUAAUAGGCCAGUUGUGACCUGUUAAACAGAACCCAAGAUAAUGAGCCAGACCAAUUUAUGAUCAGAACUGUCAAAAUGAGAUUUCACACCACAUUUACAAUUGCAUGUCUGUUUAUUUUUUAAAGAUCAAUCAAGCAUUUCUGAGGAUUACUGUUCCACUUCAACCGUGAUUCCCCGCUUCCUUGGAAUAGCGAAGGAGGAGUUUUCAAGGAGAAGACACAGAACGUCCUAUCAGCCCAGUCACUCUCCUGAUAAACUCUGAUAGUAGAAUCUGAAGAAGCCAGAAGAGUCAGAAGAAGAUGGUUCGUGUUUAUCAGGUUAAAGCAGCAGAUAUCUAGCUUUCUAAAGCUUGGUUUCGUGUGUUGUAAAAAGCUGUAAGCUUAAGCAGAAUCAAGUGCACAAUAAUUAUCAAACAGUGACUCAUAAUUUUAUCUGACUACUUAAUGGUGUGAACCUGAUCU